This is an RNA transcript of Mus musculus (house mouse), 4726 nucleotides long. It is a transcript of the gene named tripeptidyl peptidase II, with no coding region annotated. The record is from RefSeq and is marked validated. NCBI's taxonomy places the organism in Eukaryota, Metazoa, Chordata, Mammalia, Rodentia, Muridae. The transcript is spliced from 30 exons.
GUGGCCAGGCUCCGCCCCUUCCCCACCUCCGUCCCGCGGUAGCCGGGUGUCCUCGCGCCGCUCGUCCGCGCGCUGCCUGGCAGUUUGCCUCUUCCUCGUCUGUCCUCCAGCUUGCGUCCAUGGCCACCGCCGCGACCGAGGAGCCCUUUCCUUUCCACGGUCUUCUACCAAAGAAGGAGACCGGGGCCUCCUCCUUCCUGUGCCGCUACCCGGAGUAUGACGGGCGCGGGGUGCUCAUCGCCGUCCUGGACACAGGGGUCGAUCCCGGGGCCCCGGGCAUGCAGGUUACAACUGAUGGAAAACCAAAAAUCAUUGAUAUCAUUGAUACAACAGGAAGUGGUGAUGUAAAUACUGCUACAGAAGUAGAACCAAAAGAUGGUGAAAUUAUUGGUCUUUCUGGAAGAGUGCUUAAGAUUCCUGCAAACUGGACAAAUCCUUUAGGAAAAUAUCAUAUUGGCAUUAAAAAUGGUUAUGACUUCUAUCCAAAGGCUCUCAAGGAAAGGAUACAGAAAGAACGGAAGGAAAAAAUCUGGGAUCCAAUUCACAGAGUUGCACUUGCAGAAGCUUGUAGAAAACAAGAAGAAUUUGAUAUUGCCAACAAUGGCUCUUCCCAAGCCAAUAAACUAAUCAAGGAAGAGUUGCAAAGUCAAGUGGAAUUACUUAAUUCUUUUGAGAAAAAGUAUAGUGAUCCAGGCCCUGUAUAUGACUGCUUGGUGUGGCAUGAUGGUGAGACCUGGAGAGCCUGUGUUGAUUCAAAUGAGAAUGGGGACUUGAGUAAAUGUGCCGUAUUGAGAAACUACAAAGAGGCCCAAGAGUACAGUUCUUUUGGCACAGCUGAGAUGCUGAAUUACUCUGUGAACAUUUAUGACGAUGGGAACCUGCUCUCCAUUGUGACCAGCGGAGGAGCUCAUGGAACCCAUGUAGCAAGUAUAGCCGCAGGGCAUUUUCCAGAAGAGCCUGAACGGAAUGGAGUUGCUCCUGGUGCUCAAAUUCUAUCCAUUAAGAUUGGUGAUACACGGCUAAGCACUAUGGAAACAGGCACAGGCCUCAUCAGAGCUAUGAUAGAAGUUAUAAAUCAUAAGUGUGAUCUUGUCAACUACAGUUAUGGAGAAGCAACUCAUUGGCCAAAUUCUGGGAGAAUUUGUGAAGUAAUUAAUGAAGCAGUAUGGAAACAUAAUACAAUUUAUGUUUCAAGUGCUGGAAAUAAUGGUCCAUGCCUUUCUACAGUGGGUUGUCCAGGAGGAACUACAUCCAGUGUGAUAGGUGUUGGAGCUUAUGUUUCCCCUGAUAUGAUGGUUGCAGAGUAUUCACUGAGAGAGAAACUGCCUGCAAAUCAAUAUACAUGGUCUUCUAGAGGCCCAAGUGCUGAUGGAGCCCUCGGUGUGAGCAUCAGUGCACCAGGAGGUGCUAUUGCUUCUGUGCCUAACUGGACAUUGAGGGGGACUCAGCUAAUGAAUGGGACAUCAAUGUCUUCCCCCAAUGCCUGUGGUGGCAUUGCCCUGGUACUUUCAGGGCUGAAAGCAAAUAAUGUUGACUAUACUGUACACUCAGUCAGAAGAGCUCUAGAAAAUACUGCAAUAAAAGCUGACAAUAUAGAAGUAUUUGCCCAAGGACAUGGAAUUAUUCAGGUUGACAAAGCUUAUGACUACCUCAUUCAAAAUACAUCAUUUGCUAACAGAUUAGGUUUUACAGUUACUGUUGGAAAUAACCGUGGUAUCUACCUCCGAGAUCCUGUCCAGGUGGCUGCUCCUUCAGAUCAUGGUGUUGGCAUUGAGCCUGUAUUUCCAGAGAACACAGAAAACUCUGAAAAAAUAUCCUUUCAGCUUCAUUUAGCUUUAACUUCAAAUUCAUCUUGGGUUCAGUGUCCCAGCCAUUUGGAACUCAUGAAUCAGUGUCGGCACAUAAACAUACGUGUGGACCCCAGGGGCUUAAGAGAAGGGUUACAUUAUACAGAGGUAUGUGGCUAUGAUAUAGCAUCCCCCAAUGCAGGUCCUUUAUUCAGAGUUCCAAUCACUGCAGUUAUAGCAGCAAAAGUAAAUGAGUCAUCACAUUAUGAUCUAGCCUUUACAGAUGUACAUUUUAAACCUGGUCAGAUUCGAAGACAUUUUGUUGAGGUUCCUGAAGGGGCAACCUGGGCUGAAGUUACCGUGUGUUCAUGUUCUUCUGAGGUAUCGGCAAAAUUUGUUCUUCAUGCAGUACAGCUUGUGAAGCAGAGAGCAUAUCGAAGUCAUGAAUUUUAUAAGUUUUGUUCCCUUCCAGAAAAAGGAACACUUAUUGAAGCUUUUCCUGUUUUGGGCGGAAAAGCAAUUGAAUUUUGUAUUGCUCGUUGGUGGGCAAGUCUUAGUGAUGUCAAUAUUGAUUAUACCAUAUCAUUCCAUGGGAUAGUGUGUACUGCACCACAGUUAAACAUUCAUGCAUCUGAAGGAAUCAAUCGUUUUGAUGUUCAGUCCUCUUUAAAGUAUGAAGAUCUGGCUCCUUGCAUAACUUUGAAGAGCUGGGUGCAAACGCUACGCCCAGUAAAUGCAAAAACCAGACCUUUAGGAUCAAGAGAUGUUUUGCCAAAUAAUCGCCAGCUUUAUGAGAUGGUCCUUACAUACAGCUUUCAUCAGCCCAAGAGCGGAGAAGUAACACCUAGUUGUCCACUCCUUUGUGAAUUGUUAUAUGAGUCAGAAUUUGACAGUCAGUUGUGGAUUAUUUUCGACCAGAACAAAAGACAGAUGGGCUCAGGCGAUGCCUAUCCACAUCAGUAUUCUCUGAAAUUGGAGAAAGGAGAUUAUACAAUUCGAUUACAGAUUCGUCAUGAGCAAAUCAGUGAUUUGGAUCGUCUCAAAGAUCUUCCGUUUAUUGUUUCACAUAGGUUGUCUAAUACCUUGAGCUUAGAUAUUCAUGAAAAUCAUAGCCUUGCACUUCUAGGAAAGAAGAAAUCAAGCAGCUUAACAUUACCACCCAAAUACAAUCAGCCAUUCUUUGUUACUUCCUUACCUGAUGAUAAAAUACCUAAGGGGGCAGGACCCGGAUGCUACCUUGCAGGCUCCUUGACAUUGUCAAAGACUGAGCUUGGAAAGAAAGCUGGGCAGUCUGCAGCAAAACGACAAGGAAAAUUUAAAAAGGAUGUGAUCCCUGUUCAUUACUAUCUCAUACCUCCACCAACAAAGAUUAAGAAUGGCAGCAAAGAUAAAGAAAAGGAUUCAGAAAAAGAGAAAGACUUGAAAGAAGAGUUUACUGAAGCAUUACGCGAUCUCAAAAUUCAGUGGAUGACCAAGCUUGAUUCUACUGACAUUUACAAUGAAUUGAAAGAAACAUAUCCUGCUUACCUUCCUUUGUAUGUUGCACGUCUUCAUCAACUGGAUGCUGAAAAGGAACGAAUGAAAAGACUUAAUGAAAUUGUUGAUGCUGCCAAUGCUGUUAUUUCUCACAUCGAUCAAACCGCUCUUGCAGUUUACAUUGCAAUGAAGACUGACCCCAGGCCUGAUGCAGCUACUAUAAAAAAGUACCUAACCAUGAUAUGGACAAGCAGAAAUCCACCCUGAUAGAUGCCCUCUGCAGGAAAGGAUGUGCCCUGGCAGAUCACCUUCUUCAUACACAGCCUCACGACGGGGCAGCAGCUGGAGAUGCUGAAGCAAAGGAAGAAGAAGGAGAAAGUACCAUGGAAUCUCUAUCGGAAACCUAUUGGGAAACUACAAAGUGGACAGAUCUUUUUGACACUAAGGUUUUGAUAUUUGCAUACAAGCAUGCAUUAGUAAAUAAGAUGUAUGGGAGAGGCCUUAAGUUUGCAACCAAACUCGUAGAAGAAAAACCAACAAAAGAAAACUGGAAAAAUUGUAUUCAACUCAUGAAAUUACUUGGAUGGACCCACUGUGCAUCUUUUACUGAAAACUGGCUCCCCAUCAUGUAUCCUCCUGAUUAUUGUGUAUUCUAAAAUAAGAACCAAAACUUUACAUUUCAAAACAGAAAAUUUUAUAGUGAAUGGAUAUAUGAAGAAUUGUGUGGCAUUUUUAGUCUGACUAAUGCAUGUUUUCAUCUACCAUUCAAUACUGAUCAUUAAAACUAUAUGUAUUUAUCAGAGAACUCAGUGGCGUGUGGCUUAAUACAUGUAAUACAGACCUCUGACAUCAUGCUGCUUUCCUACUGCCUCCGACACUCGGCAAGUAGAGAGCACUCCCUGCCUGCCAGCCCCACCUGAGUUGGAUGCAGCUGCACACUGCAUGAGAGGUUUUCAUGUUUUAAUUUUAGCUGUAAAAUGUCAUCCUGUUUUUUAUUUUAUAAAUCACAAAGGUUAAAACAUGCUAAAUUUUUCCAAUUAUAUAGAGGCCUUAAAAAUGCUACAUUAGGUGUAGCUAAAUUAUUUAUUUGACUAAAAAAUAUGGGAACAUAAUUUCCAGACUUUUUUUCUAAAAAUAAAUUCAAUUAGUGGGGAUGGUGGGGGGCAUAAACAAAUGGCAACUGGGAAAAGAAACAUGUUAAGGAAAUCUCCAUAAGGAGUCAUAACAAAAACAAGGUGUUUUUAGAGCACCCUCAAUUACAUAGCAUCAGAAUGAGUUAAAAUUUCUUGUGUUGGUGACAGACAGCUGAAUCUAUCUGGUUUUGUAAAGAAAUACACAGUAUGUUUAUAACAUUGAAAUCAUGUAAAAUACAUGAAUAAACGUGCAAAACCACAGGCACAGUACACCAUAUGCACUCUGAUACCUUAUUUUUUUUUUAUAAAUAAAAGUAAAUAUUAAAGCUA